UGGGGGAUUUUCCGCAAUGGGCGAAAGCCUGACGGAGCAAUGCCGCGUGGAGGUGGAAGGCCUACGGGUCGUCAACUUCUUUUCUCGGAGAAGAAACAAUGACGGUAUCUGAGAAAUAAGCAUCGGCUAACUCUGUUCCAG
This 141-nucleotide ribosomal RNA is filed under the name uncultured bacterium. RNAcentral's name for it is "partial 16S rRNA". It matches the Rfam family "Bacterial small subunit ribosomal RNA", at positions 355 to 511 of the family's 1533-position model. The record is from RNAcentral.